Small nuclear RNA from Sciurus carolinensis (gray squirrel), 190 nucleotides. RefSeq annotates it as U2 spliceosomal RNA. The transcript has a single exon. Lineage: Eukaryota; Metazoa; Chordata; Mammalia; Rodentia; Sciuridae. The record is from RefSeq and is a predicted model, not a curated record.
AUUGCUUCUCAGCUUUUUGGUUAAGAUCAAGUAUAGGAUCUGUUCUUAUCAGUUUAAUAUCUGAUACAUCCUCUCUCCCAGGAUGAUAUAUUAAAAGGAUUUUUGGAGCAGGGAGAUGGAACAGGAGCUUGCUCCAUCCACUCCAAGCAUGGACCUGGUAUUGCAGUACUUCAGGAAUAGUGCACCCCUC